This 1751-nucleotide long non-coding RNA is filed under the name Linum usitatissimum (flax). Its description in RNAcentral is "long non-coding RNA (LUSI_LNC007216)". The record is from RNAcentral. Lineage: Eukaryota; Viridiplantae; Streptophyta; Magnoliopsida; Malpighiales; Linaceae.
CCAUAGUAGUUCUUGUGUUUUUCCCUUCCCAAUGCAACUGUAAAAUAUGACUAAAGCCGACUGAGAAAUCCCCUUUUCAUGUGUAGAAAUAGCAGCUGAAAUUCUCGUAAGCAUCCACUCAGCUGUGAGAUAUAGUAAAUAAUGAAGAUAGAAUAGUAAUCAUAAUCUCAUAAGCAGAGUAUUCAGUAUCAACAAUACCCUCUUCAUGACAGAGAGGAACAAAAUUAAAACAACACAACCAGAUCCAUCCAGAGACAAAAGAAUCAAAAAAAACAAAAGAAAGAAACUGAUGCAAAGUAGUCGCGAACAAAAAGUCUGUCUGUCUGUCUCCCUGAUCUCUCUCUCUCUCUCUCUCUAAAGUAACAGCCACAAGAAAGAUGCACAUCCAAGUCCCAUCAUCCCAACCAUCGUCUUCUCUACUCCACUCUGCAACAAAUUAACCACCCGUCAGCACAUUCGAUAUUACAUUAUUACCAUUACCAGAUGUUGGGCUGUGCCAGCCCAACGGGCUCAUAUUCGGAAUGUUUGUUCAAAGCCCACUGAUGGCAUAUGCAACUUUAUCCAACGUUUCACCACUCAAUUUUUUUUUCUUCUCAAAUUUUCCGCAGAUCUAACAAAAUUUAAUUGUUCUGAUUAGCCCUUUAAUUUAAUAAUAAAAUAAAUAAAGUAGUAACACUCCUUGGAUUCUACGUCUCUUACUCACUGUAUCUCAAAACCUAAAGGAAUUUUUUAAUGUAAAAACGUGACAGCUCUACCUAGUGUGUCACGUGCAGCUUACAGAAAUGAAAAGCCACUUUCCGAUUUUCCUUAGUCCCCUAAACCAUCUGACAUCCACGCGCUGGAUUCAUCUAUUACGACAACACGCGCCGCUUUAGAAUGAGAUCCAAGAUCAGGUCAAACUUAUGAUACAAGAUCUGUUUUACUGUUUGUUCUCUAAUUAGGACCGACCAAACUAAUUAACAUUCACAUUUCCUUACUCUAAUUAGGUCUUUAAUCUCAAUUACUAAUGGUAAAUAGUAAGGAUAAAGAAAACGACGACGUACCAUAUCAGAACCGGUGCCGGCUGGUCCAGGAGCAGAAGCGCCCAAGCUAGGGGAAGGAGCUCCGGUGGGAGGAGCGGGCGGGCUUGAUCCCAGAGGCGAAGGAGCGGAAGCCGGAGACUUCACCUUCUUGGACGGAGCCGGAGCUGGGACCGAAGCAGGUGGAGAUGCCAGGGGAGCUGGUGGCGGGGUUGCCGGAGGAGGAGUGGCUGGCGGUGGGGUUGCCGGAGGAGGAGUUGCAGGUGGUGGAGUGGCGACCGGAGGUGGAGUUGAUGGUGGAGGGGAAGCAGGUGGGGGAGUAGCAGCAACCGGCGGAGGUGUGCUGACUGGAGGAGGAGUUGAUGGAGGUGGGGCGGAGACUGGAGGAGGAGAGGCCGCCGGAGGAGGGGAGGAAGUCGGGGGAGGAGUGGUGCUCACCGGAGGAGCGGCGGUCGGGGUGGUGGGAGUGGGUGGAGCCGGGGUGGCGGUAGGAGAAGCAGCCGGAGAUUGAGCGCCGACGCCGGCGAUGACAAUGCAGAUGAGAGAGAGGACGACCAAAGCUGAUGGACUCUUCAUCUUGCGCCGAUCUAGUUUCCUCUCUCUUCUUUCUUUUCUUCUCGUAAAACUACAAACAGAGAAAGAUAGAGAGAGAGAGAGAGAGAGAGAGAGGAGUGAGGGGGGAAAGAGAGUGAGAAAUCAAACGGGAAUAAAUAGUGGUGGAUAAAUUAAGAA